Chrysemys picta bellii (western painted turtle) is the source of this 413-nucleotide non-coding RNA. Lineage: Eukaryota; Metazoa; Chordata; Testudines; Emydidae. The record is from RefSeq and is a predicted model, not a curated record.
GGCAAGUCUUGAGGGAAAGCGGAGAAACACUCCCUUCUGCAGCAGACACAAGCCAGUUGCAGACAUGUGGGAGAAUGAAAAAGCAGCAUAGGGCCAGCAGUAUGCAGAGAACCUAGCCUUGAGCAAAGCUCUCCCUUUAAAACAGUCAUUCAUUAUUCUCCAUGUUGGCCUUUUAACCUGCUGAUGUGAGAAUGGAGUAAGGAAGCUGCAGUCUCACCUGCUUAAAAAGCUCCAGACAUCUAUGGCUGGCGUAUAUCUUUCCUCUCCAAGCAGAAGUUCAGGAGGCCGGUACCAUAAAGUAAUAACUUUGUUGGUAUAUGGUCGACUGAAAAAAAGAAGACAGAGAGAUUCAACAUUUCUCUUAAAAUGAGAUUGUAGUGAACUAAUAAAAGUUUGAGGUUUCACUACUACAA